RNAcentral lists this long non-coding RNA (495 nucleotides) under Mytilus galloprovincialis (Mediterranean mussel). Lineage: Eukaryota; Metazoa; Mollusca; Bivalvia; Mytilida; Mytilidae. The record is from RNAcentral.
UUUUAUUUUAUCGGUUAUUGUUGAAGGUCGUACGAUGACGUAUGGUUGUUAACACAUACUUUCUUUGGUUUCUUAUGGAAAUUUUUCCAUUGACAACAAACAUACCACAUCAUCUGCAUUAUAUAAGUAUUGUAUAAAUUACAACGUAUUUUGGUAAUCUUGCAAAAUGAUCGUAAUCCCGAAAAUCGUUAACAUAUUUUCUUAUCUUAAAAGGGGCAAGAAGGGUUCCAUCAACAGGCCAAUAAAUAAAAUUACAGUUAAUUUAAAAAAAAAAAAAAAAAAAAAUAGGUGUAUUUUUUCUCUCAUAAUAAUAGUAAACAGAUUCACAACAAUGUCAAUUUCAAGAAAGCAGACAACAGUUAAUUAGUCAAUAACAAUGCAGCAUCAAUGAUCUUGAAUAUAUGCUUCUUUUAACUAAAAUAUAAAGGCACAGAACCAGGACAUUGGAGCACAGUACCAGGACCGUUUUUCUUAUCACCAGCACAGCGUCAGGAC